Molecule: long non-coding RNA, 1275 nt
Organism: Cygnus olor (mute swan)
Lineage: Eukaryota; Metazoa; Chordata; Aves; Anseriformes; Anatidae
Exons: 3
Source: RefSeq, a predicted model, not a curated record
UUCAAUGAUGUGUGCUGGGCAAGCUCAGAAAUGCCAUGAACUUUAGUUGUGUGGGAGCUUGGCCAAAUCAACAGAAUGUGCUGCUCGUUUCCAAAGUUCAUUUAAUGUCUAAAACUUUGUUGGUUAAUACCUCCCUCUCAUCCAGAACGAUUCUGUUUUAAAGAGAUUGAGUCUCGGCGUCCUGGCAGCCCUGAGGAGCAGCUCUGUGGCAGCCCCGCUGAGUCCAGAGAGAGCUCAGUUCAGCAAGGCACAAGCAGAACCUACACAAUUAAUUUGCCUCUUACAGAGCUUUCGCCAUCACCAUGCAGUGGACUGGAUUCCUGGAAAGGGGUAUUGGCCGAAGUUAAUAAGGAACAAGAUGUUGAAAUGUGAAUUAUCCCCUGAAAGUUUUUCUAGAAAUAAGUAAAUGCAACAGUCCACAGAUGAUGCUUUUUCCUUUUCUUUAUAGCUAGACACCUCAUAAAAAAUGGAUUUUUUUGAGUAAGUUCCUAAGACAAAGUAUCUUUUCUUGCACAAGCGAAAGCAGGAGAUUAUCUCUUACCUGUAGCUAUAAUCAGGAUAAUAUUACAAAUCUGUUUUUCCCCUACAAUCCUAUUUCUUUUUGCUAAAGUAAUUAAUUUUUUUUGUGGCAUCACAUACUUCAAGGAGAAAACACAAGAUGACUGCUACAGCAGAGCAGCAAAGAGGGGAUUUUUUUCUUUCUUGUUCUGCAAUAUUCAACAGAAAAUGCUUUAGGGGUUAGUCAUCUUUCUUUAAACCCGUGGCAGUUACGAAGUGUUUUGCCAGCCCUUCUUCAGCGUCUGGUCACGAACAGACAACAGCAGAAGUUCUGGCAGCCCUGCAGCCCCUUUGCACCAGUACAGCUGAAGCAAGGACAAUAUGGGCAAGCUGCAAACCUCUCCCAAAAAACAGCAAGGUGUUUGUGCAGAAGUCUAGAUGUGUGCUGUCUCCAGUGAGGGACCUGGGUGCAUGAGGUUACACAGGGAUUAUCCUAAAGCUGCUGCCUCCUGUCUUGUAAUCUAGUGAUUUCCCACCCCAGCACAGCCAUUUAUUACACUGCUUGCGACCAAGGAGUCGGCAUGUCUUUGGCCAAAUUAUACAUGGGUGAAGCCAGUGAGACCAUAGGAACAGGGAGAUGGAGCCCUGGAAUCUGCCUUGCUCCAGAAAGCUGAGAGCUCUACAGGCUAUGACCACCACAUCUAACCCUUGGUGAAAUGAGUGUUAAGUCCGCUGAAGAGUAACAGAAAUGGAAAUAAACAGAGGGGAAAAAAAAAA